GUAUGCUUUCCGUGAUAUCUGUGUUUGUUUAAGCCACCAAAUAUGGCACAAAAAUUCAUUAUCUUUAAGAUUUGUAAUCUCUUUCUCAACAGGGCAAUCAUGAUAUUUGCCUUAAGUAUACUUCCGUAAUUUCUAUAAUUCAGUUAGAUCUUAACUGUUUAAUUUUCUUUUAUUUAGAGCUAUCUAAGAAUCAGAGAAUUUUAGCUUUUAGCUGUAUAUUCAUAGGUAGAUGUUCUUAUUUGUCCGUACCCUCCCGCCCUGAUUUUUUGAAAUGAGGUCUGACUACGUAGCCCAGGCUAGCUUCUGCUCAUGAUCUUGCUGCUUCUGCCUCUUUAGUGCUAUUAUUAAAGAAAUGUACCACCACAUCUGGCUUUCAUUUUCCCAUUUAGGUAUAAUUAAAACCUAGUAAGGCUAGGGAGAUGGAUCUUGAACCUGAGUUUGGUUCCCAGCACCCACACCUGGCAGCUGAGAGUUGCCUAUAAUAUAACCUCAACUCCCAGUGACCUGAGCCCUCUUUUGGCCUAUGUGGGCAGUGAGUGCAUGCUCAUGCACAGACACAAAUGCAUUCAUAUCUCAUUACAAAUAAGGAAUUAAAAUGAAAUCUUAGUAAAACAGUGAAAGUAAUUCUACCAUAAAGCCAAGUGCUGAGAUGUCUCUUGCUUUUAGGAAUAUUAUCUAUGCAACAUGUGUAGUUACCACUACAGAGAGCUAGAGGAACUUGGAAAAAGAAAAGUGAUAAGGGAUACUCCAAAAAAUACUAUAAGGUCUCUGUGACUAAGACAUUUUAAUGGUGGCACAUGAUUUAACAGACCAGUGAAACAGAACAGAAAGUAGAGUCGACUUCAUUGGAAAAGGAAUUUAUUAUAUCAACCAACUAGUAUUAGAUCAAAAAUAAUUUUUUGUUAUUAGUAUAAGUGGGUAUAUGAAAGAGAUAAAAUUACAAUUUUUUUUUAAAAAAUUACAUCAUAAACCAGGAUAAAUUCCAAGUGGACUUGAGACUUAAAUGCUGGUGGAAAUGCUAAAUGAUUCAAUUCUCAUGAAAUGAAAUUUGGCAAUAUAACAGAAUUAUAUGCACUUAUGCCGUUUUCCUAAGAAUCUGCAACAGAGAUAUUCUGUCCAAAAUGUAAACUACAUAUGUAUAAGUUACAACUAACAGUUCUUUGUAAUUUUGAAAAUCCCCAAAUGCCUGUCAGGAACUGAUAUCCUAAAGUGAAGUAUAUCUAUCUAUACAGUAAAAUGUAUUUAACUUUACAAAGGAAAGGUAUUUUUUUAUGUGUAUCAUAAAGUGGUUUUUAGGUCAUAGUAAACUGAGCAAAAUGAGCAAAAUAAUCCAGCAUGUGCCAGGCCCUGGGCUUACAUCUCUAGCAUCAUCCUACCCACCCG
RNAcentral lists this long non-coding RNA (1383 nucleotides) under Mus musculus (house mouse). Its description in RNAcentral is "long non-coding RNA chr18:42324198-42325581". The record is from RNAcentral. Lineage: Eukaryota; Metazoa; Chordata; Mammalia; Rodentia; Muridae.